GAUGAUUGAAGGGAGUUGCUCCUAGUACGAGAGGACCGGAGUGAACGAACCUCUGGUGUUCGGGUUGUCACGCCAGUGGCACUGCCCGGUAGCUAAGUUCGGAAUCGAUAACCGCUGAAAGCAUCUAAGCGGGAAGCGAGCCCUGAGAUGAGUCAUCCCUGACCCCUUGAGGGUCCUAAAGGGCCGUUGGAGACCACAACGUUGAUAGGUGGGGUGUGUAAGUGCAGCGAUGCAUUGAGCUAACCCAUACUAAUUACCCGUGAGGCUUAACCAUACAACACCCAAGAAGUGUUCU
RNAcentral lists this ribosomal RNA (295 nucleotides) under Aeromonas salmonicida subsp. salmonicida. RNAcentral describes it as "partial 23S ribosomal RNA". It matches the Rfam family "Bacterial large subunit ribosomal RNA", at positions 2657 to 2925 of the family's 2925-position model. The record is from RNAcentral. Lineage: Bacteria; Pseudomonadati; Pseudomonadota; Gammaproteobacteria; Aeromonadales; Aeromonadaceae.